Teleopsis dalmanni is the source of this 377-nucleotide long non-coding RNA. RefSeq lists it as uncharacterized. The record is from RefSeq and is a predicted model, not a curated record. Lineage: Eukaryota; Metazoa; Arthropoda; Insecta; Diptera; Diopsidae. The transcript has 2 exons.
GAUAGUAUUCGAACCAUUAAAACUAUCAGUCAAACUGAUACCUUUAGAGGAAAACAGUAAAAGUGAAACUUUAAAAUGAAAUUUUUCGUAUUCGGAUUUUUACUUGCUAUGCUCAUGGCACUUUUUGGCAAUACUCUUGGCAGUCUUAAAGAGGAUCCAGAACAUCCUUCAUUCGCUGAAUUGCGAAGCUUUGUACCACCACCGGAGCCAGCUCCAUAUCCUUUUUAAAAUCUUUAUUUUAUUGCAUUUUAAAAGAAGUUAAGUUUAAACAUUUGAACUCACAUUAUAUGGGCUUGAACAUUUAUUUUGUAAACCAAUAUGCUAAACCAAUAAAUAAAAGCUGCUCCUUUCAUGUCUUUUGAAAGAUGUCUAAAAUA